AGUGAACGCUGGCGGUAGGCCUAACACAUGCAAGUCGAACGGCAGCACAGUAAGAGCUUGCUCUUACGGGUGGCGAGUGGCGGACGGGUGAGGAAUACAUCGGAAUCUACUUUUUCGUGUGGGAUAGCGUAGGUAAACUUACGCUAAUACCGCAGACGACCUACGGUUGAAAGCAGUGGAACUUCGCACCUUGCGCGAUUGAAUGAGCGGAUGUCGGAUUAGCUAGUUGGGGGGGUAAAGGCCCAGCAAGGCGGGGAUCCGUAGCUGGUCUGAGAGGCUGGUAGGCCACACUAGAACUUGAACAGGGUCAAGGGUCCUGAGGGAGGCAGCAGUGGGGAAUAUUGGACAAUAGGGGCAAGUCUUGUACAGCCAUACCGAGUGGGUGAAGACGGCCUUCGGGUUGUAAAGCCCUUUUGUUGGGAGUGAACAGCAGCCGGUUAAUACGCAGCUGUUCUGACGGUACCCAAAGAAUAAGCACCGGCUAACUUCGUG
Molecule: ribosomal RNA, 492 nt
Filed under: uncultured bacterium
Lineage: Bacteria
Description: partial 16S ribosomal RNA
Rfam family: Bacterial small subunit ribosomal RNA
Source: RNAcentral